Molecule: non-coding RNA, 99 nt
Organism: Mycena vulgaris
Lineage: Eukaryota; Fungi; Basidiomycota; Agaricomycetes; Agaricales; Mycenaceae
Source: the annotation of a GenBank genome assembly
GACCUAGUGGUGUAAUGCAACACCCCUGCUUCUCAUAACGUGUCACAAGGCGUCUCGAACUUAAAGCAGGAGCUCCCGGUUCGAAUCCGGGUUAGGUCA